GAUGAUGAUGAUGAUGAUGAUAACCAUUAGGAAACUAAUUUUGUAGAUGCAUGUGCUCUUUCAUUCUAUUCCAUACUUGUUUGGUUGCAUCUUUAUUUACCAAUCACAAACAGUAUAGAUAUGAGUUUGUCCAAUAUCAUUUGUACAUUUCAAAGAAGUAAAAUAAAAUUAAAUAAAAAAAAUGUUUUAUUAGCUCAAAGGAAAAUUGCCUACGUGAUGCUGCAGCUAUGUGAUUGAUUUUUUAAUGCGCUAGCAUGGAAGUGUGAUGAGUUUGCGGUGGAAUGAGUGAAAAGGAAAAGAGAGAGACCUAACACUAUGUUUAAGAGGAGUAUAACAAGAUAAGGUAAAGUUUUUUUAAAAUAAGGUAAAGUAAAAUAAUAGAAGGUAAGGUAAGGUUUUUAAAGGAAGGUAUAAUAAAUGAUGGUUCACUAAUCUUAUGUUGUUUGGAUCAAAAGUUCACUAACUUUAUGUUAUUUGGAUUAAAGGUAUGAGAAGGUAAGAUAAAGUAUACAAAAUAUAAAAUACAAAUAUAAUCUUAUAAUGUAAAAAAGAAAGAGUUGUGUUUUAAUAUUUAAAGUGAUUAUAACUCAACUCAACUCAA
Molecule: unclassified non-coding RNA, 601 nt
Filed under: Hevea brasiliensis (rubber tree)
Lineage: Eukaryota; Viridiplantae; Streptophyta; Magnoliopsida; Malpighiales; Euphorbiaceae
Source: RNAcentral